UACAGAGGGUGCAAGCGUUAAUCGGAAUGACUGGGCGUAAAGGGCAUGUAGGCGGUUAGAUGAGUUAUAGGUGAAAUCCCCGGGCUUAACCUGGGAACUGCCUGUAAGACUAUCUAGCUAGAAUAGAGUAGAGGUAAGUGGAAUUUCCGGUGUAGCGGUGAAAUGCGUAGAUAUCGGAAAGAACACCAGUGGCGAAGGCGACUUACUGGACUCAUAUUGACGCUGAGAUGCGAAAGCGUGGGGAGCAAACGGG
Molecule: ribosomal RNA, 253 nt
Filed under: uncultured bacterium
Lineage: Bacteria
Description: partial 16S ribosomal RNA
Rfam family: Bacterial small subunit ribosomal RNA
Source: RNAcentral